RNAcentral lists this unclassified non-coding RNA (115 nucleotides) under uncultured fungus. Its description in RNAcentral is "sequence contains ITS1". Lineage: Eukaryota; Fungi. The record is from RNAcentral.
UGCUGCGCGAUCCGACCUUUGACCGCGACAUCUGGAAGAGCCUUAUCGGUGAAAUACUCUUCGUCAUCGCCACGGAUAUUCCCGAAGUCCAGAGCGCCUACGAAACCCUCUGCCG